RNAcentral lists this ribosomal RNA (305 nucleotides) under uncultured bacterium. RNAcentral's name for it is "bacterial SSU rRNA". It matches the Rfam family "Bacterial small subunit ribosomal RNA", at positions 337 to 656 of the family's 1533-position model. The record is from RNAcentral.
UCCUACGGGGCGCAGCAGUGGGGAAUAUUGGACAAUGGGGGGAACCCUGAUCCAGCGACGCCGCGUGAGUGAAGAAGUAUUUCGGUAUGUAAAGCUCUAUCAGCAGGGAAGAAAGAAAUGACGGUACCUGUCGAAUAAGCCACGGCUAACUACGUGCCAGCAGCCGCGGUAAUACGUAGGUGGCAAGCGUUAUCCGGAUUUACUGGGUGUAAAGGGAGCGUAGGCGGUGAUGCAAGUCAGAAGUGAAAGCCCGCAGCUCAACUGCGGGACUGCUUUUGAAACUGUAUGACUAGAUUGCAGGAGAG